RNAcentral lists this ribosomal RNA (450 nucleotides) under uncultured bacterium. Its description in RNAcentral is "bacterial SSU rRNA". It matches the Rfam family "Bacterial small subunit ribosomal RNA", at positions 354 to 796 of the family's 1533-position model. The record is from RNAcentral.
GUGGGGAAUUUUGGACAAUGGGCGAAAGCCUGAUCCAGCCAUGCCGCGUGCAGGAUGAAGGCCUUCGGGUUGUAAACUGCUUUUGUACGGAACGAAAAGACUCUGGUUAAUACCUGGGGUCCAUGACGGUACCGUAAGAAUAAGCACCGGCUAACUACGUGCCAGCAGCCGCGGUAAUACGUAGGGUGCAAGCGUUAAUCGGAAUUACUGGGCGUAAAGCGUGCGCAGGCGGUUAUAUAAGACAGAUGUGAAAUCCCCGGGCUCAACCUGGGAACUGCUUUUGUGACUGUAUAGCUAGAGUACGGAAGAGGGGGAUGGAAUUCCGCGUGUAGCAGUGAAAUGCGUAGAUAUGCGGAGGAACACCGAUGGCGAAGGCAAUCCCCUGGGCCUGUACUGACGCUCAUGCACGAAAGCGUGGGGAGCAAACAGGAUUAGAUACCCCAGUAGUCC